Molecule: ribosomal RNA, 477 nt
Filed under: uncultured bacterium
Lineage: Bacteria
Description: bacterial SSU rRNA
Rfam family: Bacterial small subunit ribosomal RNA
Source: RNAcentral
AUUGAACGCUGGCGGCAUGCUUUACACAUGCAAGUCGAACGGCAGCACGGGUGCUUGCACCUGGUGGCGAGUGGCGGACGGGUGAGUAAUGCAUCGGAACGUGUCCUGAAGUGGGGGAUAACGCAUCGAAAGAUGUGCUAAUACCGCAUAUUCUCUGAGGAGGAAAGUAGGGGAUCGAAAGACCUUAUGCUUUUGGAGCGGCCGAUGUCUGAUUAGCUAGUUGGUAGGGUAAUGGCUUACCAAGGCGACGAUCAGUAGUUGGUCUGAGAGGAUGGCCAGCCACAUCGGGACUGAGACACGGCCCGGACUCCUACGGGAGGCAGCAGUCGGGAAUAUUGGACAAUGGGCGCAAGCCUGAUCCAGCAAUACCGCGUGUGUGAAGAAGGCCUGCGGGUUGUAAAGCACUUUCAGUUGGGAAGAUAAUGACGUUACCAACAGAAGAAGCACCGGCUAACUCCGUGCCAGCAGCCGCGGUAA